ACCCGCGACCACACCCUGUUGGAUAAACCGGUUCCCGUCUUAAUAACAAUGUUGAGCAAAGUUGGGCCUGGUUAAUACUUGCAUGGGUAAUCGGUUGUGAAUACCGCCUGUUACGGGGA
This 119-nucleotide ribosomal RNA is filed under the name Clonorchis sinensis. Lineage: Eukaryota; Metazoa; Platyhelminthes; Trematoda; Opisthorchiida; Opisthorchiidae. The record is from RNAcentral.